GAUGAACGCUGGCGGCGUGCCUAAUACAUGCCAGUCGAGCGAACAGACGAGGAGCUUGCUCCUCUGACGUUAGCGGCGGACGGGUGAGUAACACGUGGAUAACCUACCUAUAAGACUGGGAUAACUUCGGGAAACCGGAGCUAAUACCGGAUAAUAUAUUGAACCGCAUGGUUCAAUAGUGAAAGACGGUUUUGCUGUCACUUAUAGAUGGAUCCGCGCCGCAUUAACUAGUUGGUAAGGUAACGGCUUACCAAGGCAACGAUGCGUAGCCGACCUGAGAGGGUGAUCGGCCACACUGGAACUGAGACACGGUCCAGACUCCUACGGGAGGCAGCAGUAGGGAAUCUUCCGCAAUGGGCGAAAGCCUGACGGAGCAACGCCGCGUGAGUGAUGAAGGUCUUCGGAUCGUAAAACUCUGUUAUUAGGGAAGAACAAAUGUGUAAGUAACUAUGCACGUCUUGACGGUACCUAAUCAGAAAGCCACGGCUAACUACGUG
RNAcentral lists this ribosomal RNA (497 nucleotides) under uncultured bacterium. RNAcentral describes it as "partial 16S ribosomal RNA". It matches the Rfam family "Bacterial small subunit ribosomal RNA", at positions 28 to 507 of the family's 1533-position model. The record is from RNAcentral.